AUCCAAUAUAGGUCUGCAUUGAACAUUACUUAUUAGUAAAAUAUCCUUUUAAAAACAUAAACCACAUCAUUACAUACUUUUUCUUAAAAUUAUUCAAUGUUUUUCAUCAAUAUUGAAAUUCAAUGGAAACUUAUAACUGCGGCAAAUUAACUCCAAUCGAUCUAUUCUUAGCAUACCUGAUCAACUUCCUUCCCUAUAUCAUCAUGCUUCACAUCCACCAGUGUAUAGAGUUACUUUCCUUUUAUUUCUUUCAACUUCCUGUUCAUUCCCAACUGAUACUUUUCCAUCUGUCGUUUCUUAUUCCUAGACUAUUAUUACCCCUCAUUUCUAAUGUCUAGUUUCUCUUGGGUGCAAUUUUCUUUUAACAUUCAUUGGGUAACAGUCAGAUUCUUGCUAAGCAGACAAGUCACUUUAAAACACUUCAUAUUAUUCUUUAUUAAAUAGGUGUAUCCCAAUUUUACACUGUCCAUUCUAGAUAGCUAGCUAGGCAUCAUCUACCUGUCAUUCAUUUGUUAAGCAAGCAACCUGAGAAAGGAUCUUAGCUUGUCUUGUAAAGCAAUGUAUCUCAGAACAUAGUAAGUGUGUAUAAGUAUCUGUAGGUUGAUUUCAGGAUGCAUUUCCUUCUAGCUCUUAUCACUACUAAAGUGCUUUGUUAUUGGAAAACAAAGCACUUCUAUUAAGUCCCACAAAGUGGAAAAUAGUUUAUUAAGACGUAUCAACUUUUUUGUAUUUCUAAUAUCCCAGGUGAUGCUCAGUAUAUUAAGGGACACAAUAACGUAUGUUUUUUAAGGUAACUACAUUUGAAACCAAUUAAUCUAGUUUAAUGUAGGUGAUCAACACACCAUUAGGAAAUCAUUGCAUUCAUAUGUUUAUAUACAUGACAAAUAUUAUAAAACUAGUGUUUUGAGAUGCAAAAGGCAAUAUUCUCUUAUAAGAUUCAUGAGUCCAUUAAGCUGGUACUAAUUAAAAUACAUAUCUAUAUCCAUAAAAGUCAAAUUCAUAAUUUAUGUAUUCAAGUUAAAAAUUCUAAUUCAGAAUUCAAAUGUAUGUUUAUAUAGAUUUAUAAGGCAUUUACCUAAUGCUUUUUCAUAAUUUAGAAUAAAACCUGAUUCUAGGCCAGGAGCCGUGGCUCAUGCCUGUAAUCCCAACACCUUGGAAGGCCGAGGAGGGCGGAUCACGAGGUCAGGAAAUCGAGACCACCCUAGCUAAUAUGGUGAAACCCCGUCUCUACUGAAAAUACAAAAAAUUAGCCGGAUAUGGUGGUGGGCCCUGUAGUCCCAGCUACUCGGGAGGCCCAGGCAGGAGAAUGAUGUGAACCUAGGAGGCGGAGCUUGCAGUGAGCUGAGAUGGCACCACUGCACUCCAGCCUGGGUGACACAGCGAGACUCCGUCUCAAAAAAAACCAAAAAAACAAACACACACAAAAAAACCUGAUUCUA
Molecule: long non-coding RNA, 1439 nt
Filed under: Homo sapiens (human)
Lineage: Eukaryota; Metazoa; Chordata; Mammalia; Primates; Hominidae
Description: non-protein coding lnc-GALNTL6-4:1
Source: RNAcentral